UUCAGCGUGGCGGAAACUGGUAGACGCAUCGCACUGUUAAUGCGACGCCGAAAGGCUUGUAGGUUCGAACCCUACCGCUGAAGCCA
This 86-nucleotide transfer RNA is filed under the name Mesorhizobium sp. Its description in RNAcentral is "tRNA-Asn". It matches the Rfam family "tRNA". From Rfam's summary of the family: Transfer RNA (tRNA) molecules are approximately 80 nucleotides in length. Their secondary structure includes four short double-helical elements and three loops (D, anti-codon, and T loops). Further hydrogen bonds mediate the characteristic L-shaped molecular structure. tRNAs have two regions of fundamental functional importance: the anti-codon, which is responsible for specific mRNA codon recognition, and the 3' end, to which the tRNAs corresponding amino acid is attached (by aminoacyl-tRNA synthetases). tRNAs cope with the degeneracy of the genetic code in two manners: having more than one tRNA (with a specific anti-codon) for a particular amino acid; and 'wobble' base-pairing, i.e. permitting non-standard base-pairing at the 3rd anti-codon position. The record is from RNAcentral. Lineage: Bacteria; Pseudomonadati; Pseudomonadota; Alphaproteobacteria; Hyphomicrobiales; Phyllobacteriaceae.